Molecule: ribosomal RNA, 254 nt
Filed under: uncultured bacterium
Lineage: Bacteria
Description: partial small subunit ribosomal RNA
Rfam family: Bacterial small subunit ribosomal RNA
Source: RNAcentral
AGAAUAAACGCUGGCGGCGUGCCUAACACAUGCAAGUCGAGCGAAAAAGCUUCUUCGGAAGUUAGUAAAGCGGCGAACGGGUGAGUUACGCGUGAGAAUCUACCUUUUAGUGAAGGAUACCCUUGAGAAAUUGAGGUUAAUACUGCAUAAGUCCCUACGGGGAGAAAGAUGGCCUCUUUGCUGUCGCUAGAAGAUGAGCUUGCGUGCUAUUAGCUAGUUGGUGGGGUAAAGGCCUACCAAGGCGAUGAUGGCUA